CUGUUUGGAUGUCACAAAACUGGCUCUCCUUUAUCUGCUCAUCUCUGCGGUGUGUGCUUUUGUGCUCUCCAGCCAUCUCACCUUCAACAUUAGAUCUAAAUGUUUUGAUUUCUGAGGCGGUGUUUUCCCAUGAGGGAUAUCUUCAAGAGAUCCGGUGCCUGGACCGAGUGGGAUAAGAUGAUAAAAUGAGCUUGAAACCAUGGCAAAGUUAAGCACAAGCUUCAGCGCUUUUCUGAAUUGGACUCACGUUGAGAUCCAACAGUCAAUGUUUUUCCAGACUUCCUGAUUCCUGCUUUGCAAGAGAACUGAAAGUCAAUGGAAAGAGUUUACAGAAAGUGCAGCUUUAAGUGUUUUCAGGAAUGUUUUGUAGCCACAUUUCUUCUGUAGUCCAAGCUAAUCUGAGUAAGGGCUGAGAAAUUCAAACAUGUGCUGUGCACUGUAUCUUGUGUUUCUGUAGUUGAGCAAAUGGUCAUCCUGCUGAUCUGCAGAUUACUUUGCAAUUCUGCAAAAACAAAGCCUGUGACAUUUACAUCUCCAGGAAAAUUUAUGCAUUGGCCUUUGAAUGCUAUUCAACAGCACAAAUACUUAUGUUUAAUUUAACUUACCAACUUAUUAAUCAGAAAUCACAUUAUUUGAGAAUAAUCAACUGCAUCUAUCCUCAUUUUGGACCGGGAUAGAUAGAUAUUGCAGAGCAAUACUGCACCCAAUUAGUUAUUGUUUUGUUAAAAGCCUUGUCAGCAAACUCCUUGUUGGCGAGUAAGCCAUGCUUCUCUGGCGUUGACGUGUCAGAAGGGGACUGCACUCCUUGACUCCUUGAUAGUCAUUCCUGCAGGUUAUUACUGCACAAAGCAACUGCUGGCUUCUAGAAGUCUUUU
Molecule: long non-coding RNA, 875 nt
Organism: Tympanuchus pallidicinctus (lesser prairie-chicken)
Lineage: Eukaryota; Metazoa; Chordata; Aves; Galliformes; Phasianidae
Exons: 3
Source: RefSeq, a predicted model, not a curated record